RNAcentral lists this ribosomal RNA (320 nucleotides) under Escherichia coli. RNAcentral describes it as "bacterial SSU rRNA". It matches the Rfam family "Bacterial small subunit ribosomal RNA", at positions 651 to 970 of the family's 1533-position model. Lineage: Bacteria; Pseudomonadati; Pseudomonadota; Gammaproteobacteria; Enterobacterales; Enterobacteriaceae. The record is from RNAcentral.
GUAGAGGGGGGUAGAAUUCUAGGUGUAGCGGUGAAAUGCGUAGAGAUCUGGAGGAAUACCGGUGGCGAAGGCGGCCCCCUGGACGAAGACUGACGCUCAGGUGCGAAAGCGUGGGGAGCAAACAGGAUUAGAUACCCUGGUAGUCCACGCCGUAAACGAUGUCGACUUGGAGGUUGUGCCCUUGAGGCGUGGCUUCCGGAGCUAACGCGUUAAGUCGACCGCCUGGGGAGUACGGCCGCAAGGUUAAAACUCAAAUGAAUUGACGGGGGCCCGCACAAGCGGUGGAGCAUGUGGUUUAAUUCGAUGCAACGCGAAGAACC